Molecule: ribosomal RNA, 497 nt
Filed under: uncultured bacterium
Lineage: Bacteria
Description: bacterial SSU rRNA
Rfam family: Bacterial small subunit ribosomal RNA
Source: RNAcentral
AGGGUUCGAUUCUGGCUCAGAACGAACGCUGGUGGCGUGUCUAUACAUGCAAGUCGAGCGAGGCAGCAAUGCCGAGCGGCGAACGGGUGAGUAACGCGUAAGCAAUCUGCCCCAUAUCAGGAAAUACCCGUGCCAACGCGCGGUUAAUGUCCAGGAGAGUGGCCCCUUGCAUGAGGGGUUGACUAGAGAUUUAUCGGUAUGGGAUGAGCUUGCGUCCGAUUAGCUAGUUGGCGGGGCAACGGCCCACCAAGGCGACGAUCGGUAGCCGGCCUGAGAGGGUGAUCGGCCACAUUGGGACUGAGAUACGGCCCAGACUCCUACGGGAGGCAGCAGUAGGGAAUAUUGCACAAUGGGGGAAACCCUGAUGCAGCAACGCCACGUGUGGGAAGAAGCAUUUCGGUGUGUAAACCACUGUCAUGAGGGAAUAAGGCCCGCCUUCGGACGGGAUUGAAUGUACCUUGAGAGGAAGCACCGGCAAACUUCGUGCCAGCCGCAGC